CAGCAAUUAGUUCAGUUUGGUAGAACGCCUGACUUGGAAUCAGGAGGUCGCAGGUUCGAAUCCUGUAUUGUUGACCA
RNAcentral lists this transfer RNA (77 nucleotides) under Shigella flexneri. RNAcentral's name for it is "tRNA-Pro". It matches the Rfam family "tRNA". From Rfam's summary of the family: Transfer RNA (tRNA) molecules are approximately 80 nucleotides in length. Their secondary structure includes four short double-helical elements and three loops (D, anti-codon, and T loops). Lineage: Bacteria; Pseudomonadati; Pseudomonadota; Gammaproteobacteria; Enterobacterales; Enterobacteriaceae. The record is from RNAcentral. RNAcentral also lists the same sequence under 4 other names.